CCUACGGGAGGCAGCAGUGGGGAAUAUUGCACAAUGGGGGAACCCCUGAUGCAGCGACGCCGCGUGAGUGAAGAAGUAAUUCGUUACGUAAAGCUCUAUCAGCAGGGAAGAAACACUGACCUUACGGUCAGCAGACGGUACCUGCGUAAGAAGACCAGGCUAACUGCGUGCCAGCAGCCGCGGUAAUACGUAGGGGGCAAGCGUUAUCCGGAUUUACUGGGUGUAAAGGGAGCGUAGACGGUGCGCCAAGUCUGGAGUGAAAUGCCGGAGCUUAACUGCGGAACUGCUUUGGAAACUGGCGAACUAGAGUGAGGGAGGGGUAAGCGGAAUUCCUAGUGUAGCGGUGAAAUGCGUAGAUAUUAGGAGGAACACCGGUGGCGAAGGCGGCUUACUGGACCGUAACUGACGUUGAGGCUCGAAAGCGUGGGGAGCAAACAGGAUUAGAUACCCUUGUAGUC
Molecule: ribosomal RNA, 458 nt
Filed under: uncultured bacterium
Lineage: Bacteria
Description: partial 16S ribosomal RNA
Rfam family: Bacterial small subunit ribosomal RNA
Source: RNAcentral